CUACGGGGCGCUGCAGUGAGGAAUAUUGCACAAUGGGGGGAACCCUGAUGCAGCAACGCCGCGUGGAGGAUGACGCAUUUCGGUGUGUAAACUCCUUUUAUAUGUCAAGAAAAUGACGGUAGCAUAUGAAUAAGCGCCGGCUAACUCCGUGCCAGCAGCCGCGGUAACACGGAGGGCGCAAGCGUUACUCGGAAUCACUGGGCGUAAAGGACGCGUAGGCGGGUUGAAAAGUCAGGUGUGAAAGCCUACAGCUUAACUGUAGAACUGCACUUGAAACUCUCAACCUAGAGUAUGGGAGGGGCAGAUGGAAUUAGUGGUGUAGGGGUAAAAUCCGUAGAUAUCACUAGGAAUACCUUAAGCGAAGGCGAUCUGCUGGAACAUUACUGACGCUAAGGCGUGAAAGCGUGGGGAGCAAACAGGAUUAGAUACCCUAGUAGUC
Molecule: ribosomal RNA, 439 nt
Filed under: uncultured bacterium
Lineage: Bacteria
Description: partial 16S ribosomal RNA
Rfam family: Bacterial small subunit ribosomal RNA
Source: RNAcentral